Molecule: long non-coding RNA, 348 nt
Filed under: Ananas comosus (pineapple)
Lineage: Eukaryota; Viridiplantae; Streptophyta; Magnoliopsida; Poales; Bromeliaceae
Description: long non-coding RNA (ACOM_LNC017224)
Source: RNAcentral
UAGAUCCCUGUGUUUCUAAAUAGGUAAAAACAUGUAAAACUUAUCUGAACUAUAGACCAUUUGGAGUCGACUAUUCAAUCUUGCAAAAUUUUAAUUUUAUUAUUACCUAGUCUUUUAAUUUAUUGGAUUUGUGUCAGUCGACGGUGCUUUAACUUUAAAAUGUAAGCUAAUACUUGCUUUAAUAAGUUUACAGUUGUGCGAAUUAUAUGAGAUUUACUAACUAAAUCUGUAAAGAUGAGUGAUGCGUUCAGAUUUUUAAGUCGAAGUGUCGUCGACUAAUUCAAUCAAAUAACAUUGAAAAGUGCGAUAGAGGUUGGAUAGCUAAAACCAAAACGGUCCAUAGUUCCG